UAAGGAAUAUUGGUCAAUGGACGCAAGUCUGAACCAGCCAUGCCGCGUGCAGGAUGACAGCCCUACGGGUUGUAAACUGCUUUUAUAUGGGAAGAAUCCCCCGUACGUGUACGGGGUUGACGGU
Molecule: ribosomal RNA, 124 nt
Filed under: uncultured bacterium
Lineage: Bacteria
Description: partial 16S ribosomal RNA
Rfam family: Bacterial small subunit ribosomal RNA
Source: RNAcentral